RNAcentral lists this ribosomal RNA (253 nucleotides) under uncultured bacterium. RNAcentral describes it as "partial 16S ribosomal RNA". It matches the Rfam family "Bacterial small subunit ribosomal RNA", at positions 524 to 776 of the family's 1533-position model. The record is from RNAcentral.
UACAGAGGUCCCAAGCGUUGUUCGGAUUCACUGGGCGUAAAGGGUGCGUAGGCGGGUUUUUAAGUCAGGGGUGAAAUCCUGGAGCUCAACUCCAGAACUGCCUUUGAUACUGAAGAUCUUGAGUUCGGGAGAGGUGAGUGGAACUGCGAGUGUAGAGGUGAAAUUCGUAGAUAUUCGCAAGAACACCAGUGGCGAAGGCGGCUCACUGGCCCGAUACUGACGCUGAGGCACGAAAGCGUGGGGAGCAAACAGG